GAUGAACGCUGGCGGCGUGCCUAAUACAUGCAAGUCGAGCGAACAGACGAGGAGCUUGCUCCUCUGACGUUAGCGGCGGACGGGUGAGUAACACGUGGAUAACCUACCUAUAAGACUGGGAUAACUUCGGGAAACCGGAGCUAAUACCGGAUAAUAUAUUGAACCGCAUGGUUCAAUAGUGAAAGACGGUUUUGCUGUCACUUAUAGAUGGAUCCGCGCCGCAUUAGCUAGUUGGUAAGGUAACGGCUUACCAAGGCGACGAUGCGUAGCCGACCUGAGAGGGUGAUCGGCUACACUGGAACUGAGACACGGUCCAGACUCCUACGGGAGGCAGCAGUAGGGAAUCUUCCGCAAUGGGCGAGAGCCUGACGGAGCAACGCCGCGUGAGUGAUGAAGGUCUUCGGAUCGUAAAACUCUGUUAUUAGGGAAGAACAAAUGUGUAAGUAACUAUGCACGUCUUGACGGUACCUAAUCAGAAAGCCACGGCUAACUACGUG
Molecule: ribosomal RNA, 497 nt
Filed under: uncultured bacterium
Lineage: Bacteria
Description: partial 16S ribosomal RNA
Rfam family: Bacterial small subunit ribosomal RNA
Source: RNAcentral